GGUUGAAAAAAAUAUAAAAGGGGCUAGUGUCAGUUGCUGACAGAUGCUGGCAGUUGCAGGAAAGGUGGUGCCUGGGAGUGUGUUGGGCAUUUAGUUGCUGGAAUAUAAAAGGAAUCUUCAUUACAACAUGCCUGACAAGUGGGCUUAUAGAGUCUUCUAGAAUUCUUCUUCCAGAGAAAGAUGAUUAUUUCCUUCUGGACACAGUGUGA
This 209-nucleotide long non-coding RNA is filed under the name Monodelphis domestica (gray short-tailed opossum). RNAcentral describes it as "lncRNA (ENSMODG00000043223.1)". The record is from RNAcentral. Lineage: Eukaryota; Metazoa; Chordata; Mammalia; Didelphimorphia; Didelphidae.